Molecule: ribosomal RNA, 254 nt
Filed under: uncultured bacterium
Lineage: Bacteria
Description: partial 16S ribosomal RNA
Rfam family: Bacterial small subunit ribosomal RNA
Source: RNAcentral
UACAGAGGGUGCUAGCGUUGUUCGGAAUCAUUGGGCGUAAAGGGCGUGUAGGCGGUUUGUUAAGUCAUGUGUGAAAUCCCUCGGCUCAACCGGGGGAACGACGCAUGAAACUGGCAAGCUAGAGUACCAAAGAGGGGGGUGGAAUUCCCGGUGUAGUGGUGAAAUGCGUAGAGAUCGGGAGGAACACCUGUGGCGAAGGCGGCCCCCUGGGCCGGCCCUGACACUGAGACGCGAAGGCGUGGGGAGCGAACGGG